AAAGUGCUGCAAUUACAGGCGUGAGCCACCGCGCCCGGCCAACCUGUGUAUUUUUUAUGUUAGGUUUGAUGAUGAAGUGUAUAGUCAUGGAGAAGUUUGGUUUGAUAAAUAAAUAUGAUCUAAUGGUAGUAAACUGGUGGGGGUGGGUGCGUGGGACUUAGCAAGGCCUGUUUGUUCAGAGUCUUGUCUGUGUCCCUGUGUCUUUGGAGAUGAGGCUGUUCCUCUCCUCCCCGUAUCGGGAGAGCAUCUCUGGAAUGAGACUCUUAUGACCUGCUUUAGAGGAGCAGGGUGAGAUGAGGGUGAGAGAGCCCUUUCUGCUUCUAGGGUAUUCCAGAUGCUGAGGUGCCAUAUUUUGGGGUGGUAUGUCCUGAACUCCAUCAAUUCUGUCCCCUUCUUGGGAUGUUUCCAAGCCUGUGUUGGUUUGGGUGAGAUAAUCUGGUUUCCAGAGGCUAUGGCAGGCCUCUCCAGUGUUGUCACCCCACAGGACUGACCUAGGGACACCUUCAGGGCUACACAUGGUCGUGCAGAUCUUUCCCCCGUGCAUCCCCUUUUCCUUCCCCCACUUCCUUCCCUCCCUAGAGCAAUGAGCCUCAGUGAACUGGGACCUCUGUGGACCCCACUGGGAGACAUCAGCCUCUGGAGGUUCCUUGGUGGUCUGCGCCCUUUGCCCCUUCCCUCUAGCGUUUCUGCCCUUAGAUGCCUCCUCUUGCCAAGUCACACUCAGCCCCUCCUCCCAAAGAUCAAAUUCCUUCCUUCCCUCCUCCCUCAACUUUUCUUUCUAUUCUCCCUGAUUUUACCUGAAAAGAUUAAUCAGCACAGUGCCAAAGAUGGAAAUAAACCAAAACUCCACUAGAUUUUUUAAAUUAAUUUUUUUUGAGAGAGAAGGUCUCGCUCUGUCACCCAGGCUGGAGUGCAGUGGUGUAAUGUUAGCUCACUGCGGCCUCCACCUCCUGGGCCCAAGCAGUCCUCUCACCUCAGCCUCCCAAGUAGCUGGGACCAGAGGUGUGCACCACCACACCUGGCUAAUUUUUACAUUUUUGUAGACAUGGGGAUCUCCCUAUGUUGCCCAGGCUGGUUUUGAACUCCUGGCCUCAAGUGAUCUGCCUGCUUCAGCCUCCCAAAGUGCUGGGAUUACAGGCAUGAGCCACCACACCCAGACAUUUUUCUUUUGAAAUGGAGUUUCGGCCGAGCGGUGGC
This 1197-nucleotide long non-coding RNA is filed under the name Macaca fascicularis (crab-eating macaque). Its description in RNAcentral is "lncRNA (ENSMFAG00000048315.1)". The record is from RNAcentral. Lineage: Eukaryota; Metazoa; Chordata; Mammalia; Primates; Cercopithecidae.